RNAcentral lists this transfer RNA (66 nucleotides) under Petrodromus tetradactylus (four-toed elephant shrew). RNAcentral describes it as "tRNA-Thr". Lineage: Eukaryota; Metazoa; Chordata; Mammalia; Macroscelidea; Macroscelididae. The record is from RNAcentral.
GUCCUAAUAGUAUAACAAUUACAAUGGUCUUGUAAACCAUGAAUGGAGACCACUCUCCUUAGGACU